AGUGGGCUGUGGCUUAGUGGUAAGGUGUCUGUUUUGUGUACAGAUGGUCCUAGGUUCAAUUAGACUCAACACCACUU
This 77-nucleotide transfer RNA is filed under the name Sphaerodactylus townsendi. Its description in RNAcentral is "tRNA-Thr". The record is from RNAcentral. Lineage: Eukaryota; Metazoa; Chordata; Lepidosauria; Squamata; Sphaerodactylidae.